CCUACGGGAGGCAGCAGUGGGGAAUAUUGCACAAUGGGGGAAACCCUGAUGCAGCGACGCCGCGUGAGUGAAGAAGUAAUUCGUUAUGUAAAGCUCUAUCAGCUGGGAAGAAAAUGACGGUACCUGAGUAAGAAGCCCCGGCUAACUACGUGCCAGCAGCCGCGGUAAUACGUAGGGGGCAAGCGUUAGCCGGAUUUACUGGGUGGAAAGGGAGCGUAGACGGCAGUGCAAGUCUGGAGUGAAAGGCGGGGGCUCAACCCCCGGACUGCUCUGGAAACUGUACGGCUGGAGUGCAGGAGAGGUAAGUGGAAUUCCUAGGGUAGCGGUGAAAUGCGUAGAUAGUAGGAGGAACACCAGUGGCGAAGGCGGCUUACUGGACUGUAACUGACGUUGAGGCUCGAAAGCGUGGGGAGCAAACAGGAUUAGAUACCCCUGUAGUC
Molecule: ribosomal RNA, 440 nt
Filed under: uncultured bacterium
Lineage: Bacteria
Description: partial 16S ribosomal RNA
Rfam family: Bacterial small subunit ribosomal RNA
Source: RNAcentral